GACAACCUACCCUUGGGAUCGGUAUAACCCCGGGAAACUGGGGAUAAUACCGAAUAGGUCAUAGGUGUUGGAAAACCCUAUGACUGAAAUGCUCCGGCGCCCAAGGAUGGGUCUGCGGCCGAUUAGGUUGUUGCUAGGGUAAAGACCUAGCAAGCCUAUAAUUGGUACGGGCUCUGAGAGGAGGAGCCCGGAGACGGACUCUUAGACACGAGUCCGGGCCCUACGGGGCGCAGCAGGCGCGAAACCUUUACAAUGUGCGAAAGCACGAUAAGGGGAUCCCAAGUGCCAGCGUACUGCGUUGGCUGUUCUCUAGCCUAAAAAGCUAGAGGUAGUAAGGACCGGGCAAGACCGGUGCCAGCCGCCGCGGUAACACCGGCGGUCCAAGUGGUGGCCACUUUUAUUGGGCCUAAAGCGUCCGUAGCCGGCCAAGUAAGUCCUUUAGGAAAUCUGGUGGCUUAACCAUCAGGCGACUGAGGGAAACUACUUGGCUUGGGACCGGGAGAGGUUCCGGGUACCCCAGGGGUAGGGGUGAAAUCCUGUAAUCCCUGGGAGACCGCCUGUGGCUAAAGCUCGGAACUAGAACGGGUCCGACGGUGAGGGACGAAAGCCAGGGGCACAAACCGGAUUAGAUACCCGGGUAGUCCUGGCCGUCAACGAUGCCCGCUAGGUGUAGGCCGUAGCACGUCUGCGGCCUGUGCCUUAGUGAAGACGUUAAGCGGGCCGCCUGGGAAGUACGUCCGCAAGCUGAAACUUAAAGAAAUUGGCGGGGG
This 770-nucleotide ribosomal RNA is filed under the name uncultured Methanonatronarchaeia archaeon. RNAcentral's name for it is "bacterial SSU rRNA". It matches the Rfam family "Archaeal small subunit ribosomal RNA", at positions 103 to 874 of the family's 1478-position model. The record is from RNAcentral. Lineage: Archaea; Methanobacteriati; Methanobacteriota; Methanonatronarchaeia.